GUUGGUGGGCUCAGUGGUAGAGGGCUUGCCUUGCAUGCGUGAGGCCCUGGGUUCAAUCCUCAGCAUCACA
This 70-nucleotide transfer RNA is filed under the name Marmota monax (woodchuck). Its description in RNAcentral is "tRNA.Ala". The record is from RNAcentral. Lineage: Eukaryota; Metazoa; Chordata; Mammalia; Rodentia; Sciuridae.